RNAcentral lists this long non-coding RNA (2522 nucleotides) under Phasianus colchicus (ring-necked pheasant). RNAcentral's name for it is "lncRNA (ENSPCLG00000017233.1)". Lineage: Eukaryota; Metazoa; Chordata; Aves; Galliformes; Phasianidae. The record is from RNAcentral.
CCAGUGUGUCCCCAGCGUGUCCCAAAUGUAUCCCCAACAUGUCCCCAAUGUGUCCCCAAAGUGUCCCCAGCAUGUCCCAAAUGUGUCCCCAAAGUGUCCCCAGUGUGUCCCCAACAUGUCCACAACGUGACCCCAGUGUGUCCCGAAAGUGUCCCCAGUGUAUCCCCAGCAUGUCCCCAACAUGUCCCCAACGUGUCCCCAAAGUGUACCCAAUGUAUCCUUAGCAUGCCCCCAACAUGUCCCCAAUAUGUCCACAACGUAACUCCAGCGUGUCCCCAACGUGUCCCCAGUGUGUCCCGAAAGUGUCCCCAGUGUGUCCCCAAAGUGUCCCCAACAUGUCCACAAUGUGACCCCAGCAUGUCCCCAACGUGUCCCCACAUGUCCACAACGUGACCCCAGCAUGUCCCCAACGUGUCCCCAGUGUGUCCCCAACGUGUCCGCAACGUGACCCCAGUGUGUCCCGAAAGUGUCCCCAGUGUAUCCCCAGCAUGUCCCCAACGUGUCCCCAAAGUGUCCCCAAUGUGUCCCCAACUUGUCCCCAAUGUGUCCCCAGUGUGUCCCCAACUUGCCCCCAAUGUGUCCCCAGUGUGUCCCGAAAGUGUCCCCAAUGUAUCCCCAGCAUGUCCCCAACGUGUCCCCAAAGUGUCCUCAGUGUGUCCCCAACAUGUCCCCAGUGUGUCCCCAGCAUGUCCCAAAUGUGUCCCCAAAGUGUCCCCAGUGUGUCCCCAGCAUGUCCCCAACAUGUCCCCAGUGUGUCCCAAAAGUGUCCCCAGUGUAUCCCCAGCAUGUCCCCAACAUGUCCCCAACAUGUCCACAACGUGACCCCAGUGUGUCCCGAAAGUGUACCCAGUGUAUCCCCAGCAUGUCCCCAACGUGUCCCCAACAUGUCCCCAACGUGUCCCCAGUGUGUCGCCAAUGUAUCCCCAGCAUGUCCCCAAUGUGUCCCCAGUGUGNNNNNNNNNNNNNNNNNNNNNNNNNNNNNNNNNNNNNNNNNNNNNNNNNNNNNNNNNUCCCCAAAGUGUCCCCAACAUGUCCCCAACGUGUCCCCAAUGUGUCCCCAACAUGUCCACAACGUGACACCAGUGUGUCCCGAAAGUGUACCCAGUGUAUCCCCAGCAUGUCCCCAACUUGUCCCCAAGGUGUCCCCAGUAUGUCCCCAGUGUGUCCCCAAAAUGUCCUCAGUGUGUCGCCAAUGUAUCUCCAGCAUGUCCCCAAAGUGCCCACACAGUGUCCCUAAAGUGUCCCCAAAGUGUCCCCAGCGUGUCCCCAGCGUGUCCCCAGCGUGUCCCCGCGGUGUCCCCAAAGUGUCCCCAGCGUGUCCCCAACUUGUCCCCAUUGUGUCCCCAGAGUGUCCCCGAGGUGUCCCCGAAGUGUCCCCAAUGUAUCCCCAAAGUAUCCCCGAGAUAUCCCCAAAGUGUCCCCAAUGUAUCCCCAAAGUGUCCCCGAGGUGUCCGCAAAGUGUCCCCGCGGUGUCCCCGUGGUGUCCCCACGAUGUCCCCGCGGUGUCCCCGCAUUCCGUCACGCAGCCGCGUUGUCCCCGCAGCGGCGGUGCCGGCGUGGUGCGGGGCGGCCGCCGGAAGGUGCGGGUGGAGGCGGUGCUGCAGAACCGAAAGGAGAACGCGUACAACGCCCGCCUGGCGCUGCGCUCCUCCGCCAACCUGCACUUCUCCAGCAUGGCGCUGCCGGUACGGCGGGACCCGGGACCCCCGGGACCCCACGGGUGGGAAGGAGGGGCCGCCCGCGCGGCAGGGAUGCGCGGAGCCGUUGGGAUCCGUUUGAUCCCGGCCCGUCGCGGCAGGGAUGGGGGGGGAAACGCGGUGCUGUGGGAUGCAGGAGGGGAUCCGGGGAUCCCAGAUGGGAGGUGGGAAAGCAGUGGUCACAGCUGGGAGGUGUGGAUCUGGUGAUCCCAGAUGGGAGGUGUGGAUCCAGUGAUCCCAGAUGGGAGGUGGGAAAGCAGUGAUCCCAACUGGGAGAUGGGAACCCAGUGGUCCCAGCUGGGAGGUGUGGAUCUGGUGAUCCCAGAUGGGAGAUGGGGAUUCAGUGAUCCCAGAUGGGAGGUGGGAAAGCAGUGGUCCCAGCUGGGAGGUAGGAACGCAUUGAUCCCAGAUGGGAGAUGAGAAACCAGUGAUGUGAUGUGGUACCAGUUGGGAGAUGGGAACCCAGUGGUCCCAGUUGGGAGGUGUGGAUCUGGUGAUCCCAGUUGGGAGGUGGGAACCCAUUGAUUCCAGUUCGGAGAUGGGAAACCAGUGAUCCCAGUUGGGAGAUGGGAAAGCAGUGAUCCUGGUUGGGAGAUGGGGAUCCAGUGGUCGCAGCUGGGAGGUGGAAACCCAAUGGUCCCAGUUGGGAGGUGGGAAACCAGUGAUCCCAGUUGGGAGGUGGGAAACCAGUGGUCCCAGUUGGGAGGUGUGGAUCUGGUGAUCCCAGCUGGGAGGUGGGAACCCAGUGAUCCCAGUUGGGAGAUGGGAACCCAAUGGUCCCAGUUGGGAGGUGUGGAUCCGAUGAUCCGAGAUGGGAGAUGGGAA